Molecule: ribosomal RNA, 582 nt
Filed under: uncultured bacterium
Lineage: Bacteria
Description: bacterial SSU rRNA
Rfam family: Bacterial small subunit ribosomal RNA
Source: RNAcentral
AACUAGCUUGCUAGUUUGUCAGCUAAGUGGCGCACGGGUGAGUAAUAUAUAGUUAAUCUGCCCCAAAGAAGAGAAUAAUUGUUGGAAACGACUUGUAAUGCUCUAUAUGCCUUUAAGACAUAAGUCUGCAAGGGAAAUAUUUAUAGCUUUGGGAUGAGACUGUACGGUAUCAGCUAGUUGGUGAGGUAAUGGCUCACCAAGGCUAUGACAUCUAACUGGUUUGAGAGGAUGAUCAGUCACACUGGAACUGAGACACGGUCCAGACUCCUACGGGAGGCAGCAGUGGGGAAUAUUGCACAAUGGACGAAAGUCUGAUGCAGCAACGCCGCGUGGAGGAUGACACAUUUCGGUGCGUAAACUCCUUUUAUAUGAGAAGAUAAUGACGGUAUCAUAUGAAUAAGCACCGGCUAACUUCGUGCCAGCAGCCGCGGUAAUACGAGGGGUGCAAGCGUUACUCGGAAUCACUGGGCGUAAAGAGCAUGUAGGCGGGUUUGUAAGUUGGAAGUGAAAUCCUAUGGCUCAACCAUAGAACUGCUUCCAAAACUGCUUACCUAGAGUAUGGGAGAGGUAGAUGGAAUUUCU